RNAcentral lists this unclassified non-coding RNA (568 nucleotides) under Hevea brasiliensis (rubber tree). Lineage: Eukaryota; Viridiplantae; Streptophyta; Magnoliopsida; Malpighiales; Euphorbiaceae. The record is from RNAcentral.
GAAUGUUAUACAUCUUGGUACAAGAUGUCAGGUCAAAAUCACUGAUGCGUUGGUGACCAUAAAUCUUGUAAACUUCAUAGCCUGGAACGCCGAGGCAAGGGACUUUGCCAUAUAUAUGUUCCUUUGGUGAAGAACAAUUGAAUAAGGUAUAAUCGCUCAGGUACUGAUCUGAUGAUUCAAAUAUGAAAGGAGAAGCAGAAAAGUCAAUGUUUAAAGCCUGUCUCGCAAAGCAAUCAUCAGGAUCAGACACAUUAAUAAUUUGAGAUACAUAAUCAAUAUCUUGUAUGUAUAGUUUCACGGAAUCUGGUAGCUCAAGUAAUGUCUCGUUCCUCUCUGUGCAUGACAAAUCAAACCCAGGAUAUCCACAGAGCUCUGGUUGCCGAUCUUUGAGCCGGAACGGGAAUCGGAUGUCCGGGCCAGACCCACAGCUUGAUUUUGGACAGCAGGGAAGGGCUUGCCCAAGUUCUCCAAGGACCAAAACGAACAAGCAGAAGAUAGAAACACUCGUUUCCAAAGAAAAAUAUUUCAUCUGGGCAGCCUGCCUAGCCUGUUUUAGGCUUCCAAAUAU